CUUCUCACUCUCUCCUCUUCCUCCUCUCUCUUUUCUUCUCACUCUCUCCUUCUCACUAUCUCCUCUUCCUCUUCUCACUUUCUCCUCUUCUUCCUCUCUCCUCUUCUUCUUCACACUCUCCUCUUCUUCUCUCUCUCCUCUUCUUCAUCUCGCUCUCUCCUCUUCCUCCUUUCUCCUCUUCUCACUCUCUCAUCUUCUUCUUCUCACUCUCUCCUCUUCUUCUCACGCUCUCUUCCUUUCACUCUCUCCUCUUCUUCUCAGUCUCUUCUCCUUGCUCUCCCCUCUUCUUCUCGCUCUCUCCUCUUCCUCCUCUCUCUUCUUCUCACUUUCUCUUCUUCCACCUCUUCUUCUUCUCACUCACUCCUCUUCUUCUCUCUCCUCUCCUUCUCACUCUCCUUUUCUUCUCACUCCUCUUCCUCCUCUCUCCUCUUCUUCUUCUCACUCUGUCCUCUUCCUCCUCUCUCCUCUUUUUCGUCUUCUCACUCUCUCCUCUUCUUCUCACUCUCUCCUCUUCUUCACACUCUCUCCUCUUCCUCCUUUCUCAUCUUCUUCUUCUCACUCUCUCCUCUUCUUCUCACACUCUCUUCUUCCUUUCACUCUCUCCUCUUCUUCUCAGUCUUGUCUCUUCUCCUUGCUCUCUCCUCUUCUUCUCACUCCUCUUCCUCCUCUCUCCUCUUCUUCUUCUCCCUUUCUCCUCUUCUUCUUCUUCUUACUUUCUCCUCUUCCUCUUCUUCUUCUCACUUUCUCCUCUUCCUCUUCUUCUUCUCACUUUCUCCUCUUCCUCUUCUUCCUCUCACUCUCUCCUCUUCUUCUCUUUACUCUUCUUCUCUCCUUCUCACUCUCCUUUUCUUCUCACUCCUCUUCCUCCUCUCUCCUCUUCUUCUUCUCACUCUCUCCUCUUCUCAGUCUCUUCGUCUCUCUCUCUCCUUUUCUUCUCACUCCUCUUCCUCCUCUCUCUUCUUCUCAUUCUCUCCUCUUCCUUCUCUCUCUUCUUCUCACUCUCUCCUCUCCUUCUCACACUCUCCUCCUCUUCUCACUCUCUCCUUCACACACUCUCUUCAUCUCUCGCUCCUUCUCACUCUCUCCUCUUCCUCUUCUCUCUUCUUCUCACUUUCUCCUCUUCCUCAUCUCACCUCUUCUUCCUUCUCUGUCCUCCUCUUGUUCUCAUUUUCUCCACUUCCUCCUCUCUCCUCUUUUUUUUUCACUCUCUCCUCUUCUUCUCACUCUCUCCUUUUCCUCCUCUCUCUUCUUUUUUUUAGUCUCUCAUCUUCUUCUCACACUCUCUUCAUCAU
RNAcentral lists this long non-coding RNA (1292 nucleotides) under Lonchura striata (white-rumped munia). RNAcentral describes it as "domestica (Bengalese finch) lncRNA (ENSLSDG00000001474.1)". The record is from RNAcentral. Lineage: Eukaryota; Metazoa; Chordata; Aves; Passeriformes; Estrildidae.